UGGGUUUAAUACCGUAUACGCCCUUCGGGGGAAAGAAUUUCGGUGAGGGAUCGGCCCGCGUUAGAUUAGUUAGUUGGUGGGGUAAUGGCCUACCAAGACUACGAUCUAUAGCUGGUUUGAGAGGAUGAUCAGCAACACUGGGACUGAGACACGGCCCAGACUCCUACGGGAGGCAGCAGUGGGGAAUCUUAGACAAUGGGGGCAACCCUGAUCUAGCGAUGCCGCGUGAGUGAUGAAGGCCUUAGGGUCGUAAAGCUCUUUCGCCUGUGAUGAUAAUGACAGUAGCAGGUAAAGAAACCCCGGCUAACUCCGUGCCAGCAGCCGCGGUAAUACGGAGGGGGUUAGCGUUGUUCGGAAUUACUGGGCGUAAAGCGCACGUAGGCGGAUUAGUCAGUCAGAGGUGAAAUCCCAGGGCUCAACCCUGGAACUGCCUUUGAUACUGCUAGUCUUGAGUUCGAGAGAGGUAAGUGGAAUUCCGAGUGUAGAGGUGAAAUUCGUAGAUAUUCGGAGGAACACCAGUGGCGAAGGCGGCUUACUGGCUCGAUACUGACGCUGAGGUGCGAAAGUGUGGGGAGCAAACAGGAUUAGAUACCCUGGUAGUCCACACCGUAAACGAUGAAUGCCAGUCGUCGGGUAGCAUGCUAUUCGGUGACACACCUAACGGAUUAAGCAUUCCGCCUGGGGAGUACGGUCGCAAGAUU
RNAcentral lists this ribosomal RNA (701 nucleotides) under Celeribacter sp. RNAcentral's name for it is "bacterial SSU rRNA". It matches the Rfam family "Bacterial small subunit ribosomal RNA", at positions 158 to 895 of the family's 1533-position model. Lineage: Bacteria; Pseudomonadati; Pseudomonadota; Alphaproteobacteria; Rhodobacterales; Roseobacteraceae. The record is from RNAcentral.